UCAAAGGUUUGAGAAGAGAUGGUAUAUUCAAAACUAGACAGAGGAGGAUGCUUUUUUAGUAUACACAGAUCUUGAUGUGCUGUGUGUUAUCAAACUUCCAGUUUCAGCCACAAUGUCAAUCCCCACAUUUAUUUUGCUUUUAGUAGUUGCAUGUGACAGUAAUGGUCAGACCAUUGAGCCAAUCAGAGAGGAGGUGUAUGCUCCAGCAGGUAGUAAUAUUACACUUUCAUGCACCUACUCAUCUGCAGUCUCUCUUCAAUGGUAUCUCCAGAACCCUGGAUCAGCUCCUCAGUAUAUCCUGCUUAUCCUGCAUGGUGUUGGGUCUCCAUCACGGGCUCCAGGUCUGGAUCCUCGACUGUCAGUCAAACUAAAUCAUGAGAAGAACCGUGUGGAUCUAGAGAUCUCCUCUGCUGAAGAGGAAGACUCUGCUAUGUACUACUGUGCACUGAUGCCCACAGUGAAAGGAAACCUACAAGCGCUGUACAAAAACCUAACCUGACACAUUCUAUACGUACAUGACAUGACCUACAGGUAAUGAUGCAUCUCAAGGUUUUUCUUUUUGACAGGAAACCUGGUGGGUGUGUUUAAAAACCAACAAUAUGUGAAGAGGAGGAGCAACAUUGUAAAUGCCUACUUAUUAUUUCAGAGUCAUAGCAGUGUUUUGGCUUUGCUGUUUUCUAAAAUAUACAUUAAUGUCUGAUCUGUAACAUAGAUAAAAUAUCAGACAGGGAAGGAGAUAUUAAUGAUAAUCUGAGUAUAAGAUAAUGUUUUGGGAUUUUCACCCUCCAGACAUUAUUUCCUAAAGGACUUAAUGAUGAAAUGCCUAUGUAUGUUAUGUUGUGAAUUUGAACAUGAAAUAUGUGUCUCUUGUAGAUUAUUCUGACCUUUUUCGUAAGAUGUACCCUAUGACUAAUGAAAACUUGCUAUGUCCUCAUUGAGAUUUUACAGACGUGUUUAAUAUGCCUUAUUUAUACACUUUUGUAAUAAUUAUGAAAUGCAUAUUGUUAUAUUUGGUAGCACUUAUUUAUUUUUCCUUUGCCUCCAACCCCCUUCGAUGUGUAGAACGGAUGUGGGUGGGGCCAGGUCCACAUAAUGGUGCAACUUUCAAAAAAUCCCCAAACCUCUGACGAAGGCCGUGUGGCCGAUACGUAAGCUUAUUAAAGAUAGGUGAUACUAUCAA
Molecule: long non-coding RNA, 1180 nt
Organism: Oncorhynchus tshawytscha (Chinook salmon)
Lineage: Eukaryota; Metazoa; Chordata; Actinopteri; Salmoniformes; Salmonidae
Source: Ensembl